RNA transcript from Haliotis rufescens (red abalone), 4999 nucleotides. It is a transcript of the gene named RING finger protein 207-like, with no coding region annotated. The transcript has 17 exons. The record is from RefSeq and is a predicted model, not a curated record. Lineage: Eukaryota; Metazoa; Mollusca; Gastropoda; Lepetellida; Haliotidae.
UCAUCCAAGAUGGCGGCGCCCAUGAAAGGAAGUAGGCGAAUCCCAUCCUCACUAUGACCCCAAAACGAAUGCUUCGAUUGUGAGGAAAAGACCUUUUAGAGGUUGACCUGCAACCUCAGGUUUUCCCAGGUUGGUUCAGCCAAUGACAUAGAUUGACUGUGAUAACCAUGUCCGGGGAAAUUUUUCAACCAAUGGAAAGCCUUGAAGAUACCGACGUGGCCAAAAGGAACCCCCUGCUGUGCUACCUGUGCAAUGAACAAUAUGAUGACCCCUGUAUACUCUCGUGCUUCCACAGCUUCUGUAUGCGCUGUUUGCGGGGCCGAGCAGCGGACUCACAGAUGCUGUGUCCUCUUUGUGGGGCAACCACACCUUUAAAAGAAGGAAACUCAUUACCUCCUCCUGAUCCCCUGCUGAAGUUCAUGGUCGAAUCAUCCCUGGACGAGAAAGCAUCAUGUGCCAACUGUGAUAAAGACUGUAACCCCAUGUAUUUCUGCAACACCUGCUGCCAGCCCCUGUGUACUGGCUGUAGAGAUGAAACCCACCGCGCCAAGAUGUUCGCUGCUCACGACAUUGUUGUCUUAUCCAAGAGAACAAAAGAAAUACACAAGCGCUGCUCGCUGCACAAGGAGCCGUACAUCAUGUUCUCCAUAGAGAAGAAAAUCAUGCUGUGCAUCAACUGCUUCAGGGACAUGCGGAUUGAGAGUCGGACGCACUGCGUGGACCUAGAGACCGCUUACAACCAAAGUUGUCGCAAGCUUGAGCAGAGUGUUCAAGCUGUACGGGAUCUACAGAACUCUGUGAGAGAUGGAAUCUUGCUGCUACGAGCACUGCUUGAGGAGAUCAAACAGAAUGCAAGGAAGGAAAGUGAAGCAGUUUCUUCCCUCUAUGACUCCAUGCAGGAGAAGAUCAAACUGACCAUGGAGACGCUCCUUGAGGAGUCCAACAGCCAGUACAAGGCGAAAGAGUCCUCGUUCAAGGCACAGCUGACUGGCCUGACCACCCUCCUACCCACCAUCCAUGUCCAUCUUGUGACAUCAGCAGCAUUCGCCAGCUCUGCCAAUAAGUUUGAGUUUCUAGAUAUGUCCUAUGCCAUGAUGGAGAGACUCAAGGCCAUCGUCCACUGUCAGCAUCCCCUCCACCCAACACAAGGCAGCCAGAUAGACACAGACUUCAAGAACAAAUUUGCCAAGAGCUUGGAGCCCCUGUUGUAUGAUGGCCCCGGGAAAGUGUUUCUGGCGUCUAGCCCUGUCCUACAACGAUCCACAGGAGUGCCUUCCUCACCCAGUUUCAACAGGAUUGAGGUGCCCAAGUUAGCUAAUCAGGCAGCAGCUGCAGGAAACACCCCUGUCAAGGCACCACAGAACAAUGGUCGCCGUAAUGGCAUCGGCAAAGUCAAGUUUAUUGAUGCCAAGGGUGUCUUUGCAGAACAUUGUGUAGAGUUUGAAACUUCUCAUCGGGAUGUGCUGCAGAAGCUCGAGAAACUCAAGUCUCAGGUGCAGGAGCUGCAGAGAGAUCUGACCCUGAGGCGAUGUCUGGCGCGGCGGUCGGCGGUGGAGGAGCUAAAGAGUGUCAUUGAUGGUGUCGAGUGUCAGCUUGAGAAGCACUACGGCUACAUAGAGGAAAAACAGCCAACACUCGAGAAGCACUGGGAGGAGAGUGUCCAAAGGAUAGCCAAUGAACAAGAGCUGUACCAGGCUCAGUGCCAGGAUGUUGUGAGACUCCAGCUGGAGACAAAGCACCUGAAGGUCAUCACAGCCCAGCUGACCUCCUACAUCUCAUCCAUAGCCUCCGUCACAGAGAGACUCGCACCCAAGUAGGUACCACAUAGCCUCCGUCACAGAGAGACUCGCACCCAAGUAGGUACCAAAUAGCCUCCGUCACAGAGAGACUCGCACCCAAGUAGGUACCACAUAGCCUCCGUCACAGAGAGACUCGCACCCAAGUAGGUACCACAUAGCCUCCGUCACAGAGAGACUCGCACCCAAGUAGGUACCACAUAGCCUCCUUCACAGAGAGACUCGCACCCAAGUAGGUACCACAUAGCCUCCGUCACAGAGAGACUCGCACCCAAGUAGGUACCACAUAGCCUCCGUCACAGAGAGACUCGCACCCAAGUAGGUACCACAUAGCCUCCUUCACAGAGAGACUUGCACCCAAGUAGGUACCCCAUAGCCUCCGUCACAGAGAGACUCGCACCCAAGUAGGUACCCCAUUAUCUCCGUCACAGAGAGACUCGCACCCAAGUAGGUACCCCAUUAUCUCCGUCACAGAGAGACUCGCACCCAAGUAGGUACCACAUAGCCUCCGUCAGAGUGAGACUCGCACCCAAGUAGGUACCCCAUUGCCUCCGUCACAGAGAGACAUGCACCCAAGUAGGUACCUUGUAGUCUUCAUCACAGAGAGACUCGCACCCAAGUAGGUACCCCAUUGCCUCCGUCACAGAGAGACAUGCACCCAAGUAGGUACCCCAUUGCCUCCGUCACAGAGAGACAUGCACCCAAGUAGGUACCUUGUAGUCUUCAUCACAGAGAGACAUGCACCCAAGUAGGUACCCCAUUGCCUCCGUCACAGAGAGACAUGCACCCAAGUAGGUACCACAUAGCCUCCGUCACAGAGAGACUCGCACCCAAGUAGGUACCCCAUUGCCUCUGUCACAGAGAGACAUGCACCCAAGUAGGUACCCCAUUGCCUCCGUCACAGAGAGACAUGCACCUAAGUAGGUACCCCAUUAUCUCCAUCACAGAGAGACUCGCACCCAAGUAGGUACCUUGUAGUCUUCAUCACAGAGAGACUCGCACCCAAGUAGGUACCCCAUUGCCUCUGUCACAGAGAGACAUGCACCCAAGUAGGUACCCCAUUGCCUCCGUCACAGAGAGACAUGCACCUAAGUAGGUACCCCAUUAUCUCCGUCACAGAGAGACUCGCACCCAGGUAGGUACCUUGUAGUCUUCAUCACAGAGAGACUUGCACCCAAGUAGGUACCCCAUUGCCUCUGUCACAGAGAGACAUGCACCCAAGUAGGUACCCCAUUGCCUCUGUCACAGAGAGACAUGCACCCAAGUAGGUACCCCAUUGCCUCCAUCACAGAGAGACAUGCACCUAAGUAGGUACCCCAUUAUCUCCAUCACAGAGAGACUCGCACCCAAGUAGGUACCUUGUAGUCUUCAUCACAGAGAGACUUGCACCCAAGUAGGUACCCCAUUGCCUCUGUCACAGAGAGACAUGCACCCAAGUAGGUACCCCUUUAUCUCCGUCACAGAGAGACUCGCACCCAAGUAGGUACCUUGUAGUCUUCAUCACAGAGAGACUUGCACCCAAGUAGGUACCCCAUUGCCUCUGUCACAGAGAGACAUGCACCCAAGUAGGUACCCCAUUGCCUCUGUCACAGAGAGACAUGCACCCAAGUAGGUACCCCAUUAUCUCCGUCACAGAGACACUCGCACCCAAGUAGGUACCACAUAGCCUCCUUCACAGAGAGACUCGCACCCAAGUAAGUACCUUGUAGUCUCCGUCACAGAGAGACAUGCACCCAAGUAGGUACCCCAUUAUCUCCUUCACAGAGAGACUCGCACCCAAGUAGGUACCACAUAGCCUCCGUGUCAGAGAGACUCGCACCCAAGUAGGUACCCCAUAGCCUCCGUCACAGAGAGACUCGCACCCAAGUAGGUACCCCAUUAUCUCCGUCACAGAGAGACUCGCACCCAAGUAUGUACCCCAUAGCCUCCGUCACAGAGAAACUCGCACCCAAGUAGGUACCCCAUUAUCUCCGUCACAGAGACACUCGCACCCAAGUAGGUACCACAUAGCCUCCGUGUCAGAGAGACUCGCACCCAAGUAGGUACCCCAUAGCCUCCGUCACAGAGAGACUCGCACCCAAGUAGGUACCCCAUUAUCUCCGUCACAGAGAGACUCGCACCCAAGUAGGUACCACAUAGCCUCCGUCACAGAGAGACUCACACCCAAGUAGGUACCCCAUUGCCUCCGUCACAGAGAGACAUGCAUCCAAGUAGGUACCUUGUAGUCUUUAUCACAGAGAGACUCGCACCCAAGUAGGUACCCCAUUGCCUCCGUCACAGAGAGACAUGCACCCAAGUAGGUACCCCAUUGCCUCUGUCACAGAGAGACAUGCACCCAAGUAGGUACCCCAUUGCCUCUGUCACAGAGAGACAUGCACCCAAGUAGGUACCCCAUUGCCUCUGUCACAGAGAGACAUGCACCCAAGUAGGUACCCCAUUGCCUCUGUCACAGAGAGACAUGCACCCAAGUAGGUACCCCAUUGCCUCUGUCACAGAGAGACAUGCACCCAAGUAGGUACCCCAUUGCCUCUGUCACAGAGAGACAUGCACCCAAGUAGGUACCCCAUUGCCUCUGUCACAGAGAGACAUGCACCCAUGUAGGUACCCCAUUAUCUCCGUCACAGAGAGACUCGCACCCAAGUAGGUACCUUGUAGUCUUCAUCACAGAGAGACUCGCACCCAAGUAGGUACCCCAUUGCCUCUGUCACUGAGAGACAUGCACCCAAGUAGGUACCCCACUGCCUCCAUCACAGAGAGACAUGCACCCAAGUAGGUACCCCAUUAUCUCCGUCACAGAGAGACAUGCACCCAAGUAGGUACCCCAUUAUCUCCGUCACAGAGAGACUUGCACCCAAGGAGGUACCCCAUUAUCUCCGUCACAGAGAGACAUGCACCCAAGUAGGUACCUUGUAGUCUUCAUCACAGAGAGACAUGCACCCAAGUAGGUACCCCAUUGCCUCUGUCACAGAGAGACUUUCACCCAAGUAGGUACCACAUAGCCACCGUCACAGAGAGACAUGCACCCAAGUAGGUACCCCAUUGCCUCUGUCACAGAGAGACUCGCACCCAAGCUUGGCCAGUCUACGAAUGACACGGAGCAUGACAAUCAGAUGCAUGCAUUGUUGGACGAGAUCAACGCUGUGCACCCAGACUCCCAACAGAGAGUUGAUGCCAUUCAGACAGCUGAAGACAUCCGGCAGGUA